RNAcentral lists this ribosomal RNA (377 nucleotides) under uncultured bacterium. Its description in RNAcentral is "bacterial SSU rRNA". It matches the Rfam family "Bacterial small subunit ribosomal RNA", at positions 521 to 896 of the family's 1533-position model. The record is from RNAcentral.
UAAUACGUAGGGGGCGAGCGUUGUCCGGAUUUACUGGGCGUAAAGAGCGCGUAGGCGGAAAUUUAAGCGUGGCCUGAAAGCCCCCGGCUCAACCGGGGAGUGCGGCUGCGAACUGGGUUUCUUGAGGACGAUAGAGGAGAGUGGAAUUCCUGGUGUAGCGGUGAAAUGCGUAGAUAUCAGGAGGAACACCCGAGGCGAAGGCGGCUCUCUGGGUCGUACCUGACGCUGAGGCGCGAAAGCGUGGGGAGCGAACGGGAUUAGAUACCCCGGUAGUCCACGCCGUAAACGAUGGUCACUAGGUGUGUGUGGUAUCGACCCCGCACGUGCCGCAGCUAACGCAAUAAGUGACCCGCCUGGGGAGUACGGCCGCAAGGUUG